RNAcentral lists this ribosomal RNA (422 nucleotides) under Laparocerus excelsus. RNAcentral's name for it is "partial 16S ribosomal RNA". Lineage: Eukaryota; Metazoa; Arthropoda; Insecta; Coleoptera; Curculionidae. The record is from RNAcentral.
GGUAAUUUGACCGUGCAAAGGUAGCAUAAUCAUUAGUUUUUUAAUUGAAAGCUGGAAUGAAAGGUUGGAUGAGAAAAAAGCUGUCUCUAUUUAAUUUACUUAGAAUUUUAUUUUUAAGUCAAAAAGCUUAAAUUUUAAUAGAAGACGAGAAGACCCUAUAGAGUUUUAUUAAUUUUUUUUAUAAAAAUAAUGGUAUCUUUUAUUUUUAUAUUGAAUAUUAAUUUAGUUGGGGUGAUUGAAAAAUUUGAUUAACUUUUUUUUUAUACACACAUUUAUAUAUGAUUAUUUGAUCCUUAAUUUAAGAUUAAAAGAUAAAAUUACCUUAGGGAUAACAGCGUAAUUUUUUUUGAGAGUUCUAAUCGAAAGAAAAGAUUGCGACCUCGAUGUUGGAUUAAAAUAAAAUUUUGGUGUAGAAGCUAAAA